GUGUUUUUUAAGCUUGAAACCAAAUAAAUUACAAACUCCCUGAAGAAUUAUACACUUGAGCUCUUUUAGGUAACCUCUGGAUCCUCAGAACCUAUUUUAUGGCUUUGGAAGCUGUUAAAACAAGUCAUCAAGUAGAAAAAAGAAAAAAAAAUGUGUUGGGAAAACCAUCUGUGAGUGACAGACUAUAGGUGACACUUGCAGUAAGGUAGAAAAGUAGGUAUCUUGAAAAUAGUGUGAUGUGGCAAAUUUAAUAAUGUCCUGCUGCCUUUUGAAUACAUGAAUGCAAGAAACAGGGAUAGUUGGUGAAUGAUUCACAGAGUCUCUAUCACAAAGGACAGGAGUGCAAAUGUGUUUCCUCCUGAGCUUAGGUGAGUUCAGAGAAAAAUGAAGGUGACUCGCUGGGUGAAGUAUCAGGGAAGGAAGAAAAUCAGGAACGUUCUAUCAGAAAAAGAACAUCAGGGACGUUCUGUCAGAGAAGGAAGGUCUCAAAUGCAACUCACAUUUUCAGAUAUCAUUGAGGGGGGAAGAAAAUUCCAAAAUUUAGGGCUUUAAUGGCAGAGAGCAUUUUGAGCUAAAGUAUAUUAGCUAGUAGGUAAUAGAAGGGAAUUAAAUGGGCAGUGUUCAUCUUGGAGAAAGAGUAGGUGAUGUGGUUUCGUGGCUGUGUCUGGAAAAGCAAACUUUCAUGACAUGGGCUACCUGAGAAAGUAGCCUUAGGUGGUGGUGACAGAAGUGUUCACUUGUACCC
Molecule: long non-coding RNA, 745 nt
Filed under: Homo sapiens (human)
Lineage: Eukaryota; Metazoa; Chordata; Mammalia; Primates; Hominidae
Description: non-protein coding lnc-BMP6-106:149
Source: RNAcentral